This 464-nucleotide ribosomal RNA is filed under the name uncultured bacterium. RNAcentral describes it as "SSU rRNA". It matches the Rfam family "Bacterial small subunit ribosomal RNA", at positions 26 to 518 of the family's 1533-position model. The record is from RNAcentral.
AGGACAAACGCUGGCGGCGUACUUAAGACAUGCAAGUCGAACGGGCGCUUCACCUUCGGGUGGGUGUGCUAGUGGCGGACGGGUGAGUAACGCGUAGGAACCUGUCAUCAAGAGGGGGAUAACGCUGGGAAACCGGCGCUAAUACCGCAUGUGGUCAUGAAAAUGAAGAAAGCAGCAAUGCGCUUGAUGAGGGGCCUGCGUCCGAUUAGCUUGUUGGUGGGGUAAAGGCCUACCAAGGCAUCGAUCGGUAGCUGGUCUGAGAGGAUGGUCAGCCACACUGGGACUGAGACACGGCCCAGACUCCUACGGGAGGCAGCAGUUAGGAAAUUUUCCCAAUGGGCGCAAGCCUGAGGGAGUAACGCCGCGUGGAGGAUGACGGCUUUCGGGUUGUAAACUCCUUUCUGUGGGAGAGUAGAGACGGUACCGCAGGAAUAAGCCUCGGCUAACUACGUGCCAGCAGCCGC